GAUGAACGCUGGCGGCGUGCCUAAUACAUGCAAGUCGAGCGAAUGGAUUAAGAGCUUGCUCUUAUGAAGUUAGCGGCGGACGGGUGAGUAACACGUGGGUAACCUGCCCAUAAGACUGGGAUAACUCCGGGAAACCGGGGCUAAUACCGGAUAACAUUUUGAACCGCAUGGUUCGAAAUUGAAAGGCGGCUUCGGCUGUCACUUAUGGAUGGACCCGCGUCGCAUUAGCUAGUUGGUGAGGUAACGGCUCACCAAGGCAACGAUGCGUAGCCGAACUGAGAGGGUGAUCGGGCACACUGGGACUGGGGCACGGCCCAGACUCCUACGGGAGGCAGCAGUAGGGAAUCUUCCGCAAUGGACGAGAGUCUGACGGAGCAACGCCGCGUGAGUGAUGAAGGCUUUCGGGUCGUAAAACGCUGUUGUUAGGGAAGAACAAGUGCUAGUUGAAUAAGCUGGCACCUUGACGGUACCUAACCAGAAAGCCACGGCUAACUACGUGCCAGCCGCCGCGGUAA
RNAcentral lists this ribosomal RNA (515 nucleotides) under uncultured bacterium. RNAcentral describes it as "partial 16S ribosomal RNA". It matches the Rfam family "Bacterial small subunit ribosomal RNA", at positions 28 to 523 of the family's 1533-position model. The record is from RNAcentral.